Molecule: RNA transcript, 6161 nt
Organism: Diospyros lotus (date-plum)
Lineage: Eukaryota; Viridiplantae; Streptophyta; Magnoliopsida; Ericales; Ebenaceae
Exons: 5
Source: RefSeq, a predicted model, not a curated record
UCAUUUUCCACUCCUUUUUAUACUUCUCCAGCAUUGAGUUUACAUUGUCAACUUCCUUCUUAAAAAAUGUAACCCUAGCCUCAUGAUAACUAGGAAGUUUUAAACCCUUACCAUAUUCACCAACCGCUUCCAUCAUUGAAGCAAAAAGAGGACUUUUUACCAAAACAAAAGGCAAUGCACGUCCAUACAAAAAUCUACAAAUGCUAUGAACAACGGGCUCCCUUUUCUUACCCAUUGCAUUUAAAGUUUGUUGUUUUUCUUUCCCUUUAGUGACAAAGACAUCCAUACUAGUUUUUCUUUUUUCUCCUAUCAUUUGAACUUCUGUCUCUUCUUCUUGGAAAUAUUCUUUUUCAUUCACCUUUUGUCUUUCCAAUUCUCCUAAUAUCUGAAUACAAAGUUCCCUCACAUUAUCUGGACAUUGUGUACACGGAGCCACAUUAUCAUGAUCACCCGCAAAAUGGUGUUUCAUUCGAUUUAUCCCUCCCCAUCUUUCAAGUCCACAAUAAUUGCACUUUAAGUUCAUUCUAUUUCCAUUAAUCCGAGUGCAAUAUUCCCAGAUAGGAUCAUUAUUCUUUGUUGUAGAUCCCUUUUUUGAUCUUGACGCCAUAUUCAACAAGAAAGAAAGCAAUAUUCUUCUAGCAUUGAAAAAAAAUAUAAAGUCAAAAUUUUGAAAUAAAAAACAAUACAAAUAUCAUAAAAGAAAAUAAAAAAAAGUAGAACAAAUCUGACCAAACAAUAAAACAUAUUAGAAAAAAUCAGAAACAAAAAAAAAGACACAGCACAACAGUCGACACUGCAGUGCAAUAGGCUAAUAGCAGGAAAAUAUAUAUAAAAAAAAUAAAACAAUAACAAGUUAAGUUAACAAUUACAAAAUAGGUUCUCUUAACCCCCAAAGUCAACAAAAAUAGCUGCAAAAGACACAGCAGUCAGCACUACAGUGCAACAGCAACAAAAAAAUAAAAAAAAAACAAAACAAGAAAACCUCAAAGUCAAUAAAAACAGCUAGUGCUCAGAAAUAAGCAUGAGUGGUUGAGGCUCAUGUGCCCAGCUGCCCACAUCUCUGAUGUCUUUGUUGGCACGUGAGCACAUGAAAAAUUAUAAUAUCAUUUUCAAGGAUGAAAAAUGAUUUGACGAGAGAAGUGGCUAGAACAGAAGCACUGGUUUCAACACUCGUCAAGACUCCCAAGCUGGAUUUUCUCUAGGAAUAGGCAUAGAAUAGAAGCACUGGUUUUAAGCAAACGCAGUCUUCUUCUUAGGAUUCGUAUGGUCUAGGCGUCUCGCAUAAAGCAAAGAAAAAGAAUAACUGAAGAAGAAGAAAGCAACGCACCUUGAACAGAACCUGAAGUCUUGCGGUCGCAGCUCUCGAGUCUCGCCUUUGCUUCUGUCGUUUCAUCUCAUGCUCAUAUGCAGCGUUUUUGCUUCUCUGUUUCAACUUUCCAGCUUCCAGCUCCUAACGUUUCAGGUACUGCCGUUUCAUCUCAUUUCUAUUUCAGUUUUGUGAUUCGUUCGAUUCACUCGAUUCGUCCGAUUCUAUCGAUUCUUUGCCGAUUCUUUCGAUUCAUGGUCGAUUCUAAGCAAUUUUCGAUUCUACCUAUAGAUUCGACUCGAUUUCUCUUGGAAUCGAGCCGAAUCGUGCGAUUCGCGAUGCGAAUCGCACGAUUCUAACAACAGUGCAUCCGAGCUUUAGGACUCGAUUAUGAAAAGAUAGAUGCAUGCCCAAAUGAUUGCAUACUUUUUCAAAAAGAAUAUGCAAAUUGUCAUGAAUGUGUGAAAUGUGGUGCUCCUAGGUGGAAGUUAGUGGCAGGAAAAAAAGAUGUAACUGGGAAAAAGGUACCUACAAAAAUCCUGAGGUAUUUUCCAUUGACCCCAAGGCUCCAGAGGCUAUAUAUGUCAUCCAAAACAGCUUCAGAUAUGCGAUGGCACGAAGAUAAACAUGUUAAGGAUGGGUUAUUACGUCAUCCAGCUGAUUCUGAAGCUUGGAAAAAGUUAGAUGAGCAUUAUCCUUCGUUUUCAAUUGAACCUCGUAAUGUUAGACUUGGAUUGGCAAGUGAUGGAUUUAAUCAAUUUGGCUCAAUGAGCAUUGCUCAUAGUACAUGAGCCUGUGAUUGUAGUUCCAUAUAAUUUUCCCCAUUGGAUGUGCAUGAAACAGCCUUAUCUCAUAUUAACCUUACUUAUUCUUGGUCCAAAAGCCCCUGGAAACCACAUUGAUGUUUAUUUGCAACCUUUGAUUGAAGAAUUGAAGGAGUUAUGGGAGGCUGGUGUUCAAACAUAUGAUGCCUCAAAGAAACAAAAUUUUCAGAUGCAUGCAGCUAUUUUAUGGACUAUUAAUAAUUUUCCUGCCUAUGCAAAUUUGUCUGUAUAUAGUCCAAAGGGAAAAUGGGCUUGUCCUUGUUGCAACAAACACACCGAGUCUCAUUGGCUAAGUUAUGGGAAAACAAUUUGCUAUAUGGGCCACCGUCGAUUUUUACCUAGGAACCAUAAAUGGCUUAAUAAUAAAAUUCAAUUCAAUGGGAAGGUGGAACGAAGGGACCGACCUCCACAACUGUCCGGAUAUGAUGUGUUUGAACAAUUAUGCACUGUUGAAAAAGGAAAAUAGGAUAAUUCUAAUGAUACUUGGCUAAAACAUUGGAAGAAAAAAAGUAUCUUCUUUGAGCUGCCUUAUUGGAAAGAACUUUUGUUGCGUCACAAUCUAGAUGUUAUGCACAUUGAAAAAAAUGUAUGUGAUAAUGUCAUUGGAACGAUCAUGCAUAUUCAAGGAAAAUCGACAGAUGGUAAGAAAGCUUGCAUGGACUUGAAAGAGAUGGGCAUUAGAGAGACACUCUACCUACUCGGUGAAGAUGAUAAAAUACCUCUUGCAUGUUACAUGUUGUCUUCAAAAGAACAAUUGAUGUUGUGUGAAUUUUUAAAAGAAGUUAAAGUACCAGAUGGUUAUUCAUCGAAUAUCUCAAAGUGUGUUAAUAUCAAGGAGCGCAAAAUCUUGUCCUUAAAGAGUCAUGAUUGCCACAUUCUUAUGCAACGAUUACUCCCUCUUGUUAUACGGGGCCUUAUCCCUAAAGAUGUUUUUGGUGCAUUGAUUGAAUUGAGCAACUUUUUUCGAGAGAUUUGUUCCAAAGUAUUGAGGGUUGAAAGGUUAAAUGAACUUGAGCUCCAAAUUGUUGAAACUCUUUGCAAAUUAGAACGAAUCUUCCUUCCAACUUUUUUCAACAUUAUGGAACACUUGCCUAUUCACUUACCUAGUGAAGCUAAGAUUGUCGGCCCUGUCCAGUAUCGUUGGAUGUAUCCAAUUGAAAGGUUUGUACAUGUUCUUAUUCAUAUUAGUUUUUUUGGAAAAAAAAAAAGGUUUACCCCCUUAUUAAGGAGUUUAAGAAAAGUUAUCAAUUUCUUUGACAGAUAUUUACGCACAUUGAAAUCUUAUGUCCGUAAUAAGAGUCGUCCAGAGGGUUCAAUUGCAGAGGGAUAUCUUGCAGAAGAAUGCCUAAAUUUUUGUUCUAGAUACCUAAAAGGAUGUGAAACGAAAUUCAAUCGUGUUGAAAGAAAUGCUGACGGGGAUGGUGUGAAAACAAUUGGUGAAUUAUCUAUUUUUACUCAAACAGGUCGUGCUUUAGGAAAAACGACUCAAUGUGAGCUUGGAAGAGAGGAAUGGUCCCAAGCUCGAUUAUAUGUCCUUAAAAAUUGUGAUGAAAUCCAAUCAUUCAUAGAGUAAGUGAUAAUUUUGACAUAUUCUAUACCAAUUAAUUUAUAACAAUUAUUUUUUCAUGGAAUUUCUCUUACUGCUUUUUGUGUGUAAUUUAAAAUAGAGAACACAAACAUUUGGUGGUCCAAUCUCUAGCCCAUUCCCAUCCCAGAAACGUGGAAAACAUUCACAAUAGAGAAUUUUUAAGUUGGUUUGAGCAUCAAGUAAGUAUAUUAAUAUCUAAUAUGUAUCAUUUAAAUGUUUUGUGGUUAGAUGUUCAAUGCCAUCCAUUUGAACUAUAUUGUUAUUUAACCCAUUUCCCUUUAAAUGGAUAGGUGACACAAAUGUAUAAUUCAGAAAAUGACAAAGUCACCAAUCAUUUGUUAUCACUUGCUCGAGGGCCAAAUCAUAGUGCAUUGUCAUACAAAGGCUACAUUGUUAAUGGUUUUCGGUUCCACACCCGAGAUUGAGAGAAAGAAUUGAAAACUCAAAAUAGUGGAGUUUUUGUGAGAGGGGAAACUAAUAGUUUUGCAACUGCGAGAGAUGGUAACCCAACCCUUGGUAAUGUGGAUUACUAUGGCGUGUUAAUGAAUAUUAUCGAAUUGCAAUAUCUUGGUGGUUUACGAGUAAUACUAUUCAAGUGUGAUUGGAGAGAUGUAUGCAAUAAAGGAAGAGGAAUCAAGACAGAUAAUUACGGGUUCACUUCCUUAAAUUUCGAUAGAUCAUUGCAGACUAAUGAACCAUUUAUACUUGCUUGCCAAGUUGAACAAGUGUUUUAUGUAAGGGAAAUGGGGGAACCUAAUUGGUAUGUUGUUCAACGAUCACAACCUCGAAACUUUUAUGAUAUGGAUGCUUAUGAAGCCACUAGUGAUGAACCAUUUCAACAAAAUGAUCUAUCAAACAUUGGCCAAUGUUCAACCCAAGAUGCGGAUCUAAAUGAUUGUGAGUUUUCAUGCCAUAGAAGUGACAUUCCGCUAGAGAUUGCAUUUGAAGAAGGGACAUCAAGACAACGAAGGAAAAGAAUGUAUCUUUCAGUUAAGGGAAAGAGAAAGACUAGAGGAAGAAGGAAACAAAAACCAGUUUUAAGUGAUGAUGAUUGAUUGUAUAUUUCUUGCUUGCUUAGUUUUGAUAUGUUUUUUUUUUUCUCUUUAUUUUUCUAAAGCUUAGUGUAUUUCAGUGUUUCUUUUUUCUUUAGUCACUUUCUAUAUAUAAGUCUAUGUUGUAGCCAAUAGAGGGUAUAAUCGAAACCAACGAACAAACUCUCGUCACACCACCUAAUUUUGAUCCAUCUAUAAGACAAAGUUGCGCUGGUAAGAAAUAAUUAUCUAUAUUUUAAUAGUUUGAUUUUCUCAUCUGUAAAAUGAUAAAAUAAUUAUUAAUUUUUAUUUAUCAUAUAUUUAUUAUAUAGGAUCAUCAUCAUCUAAUGUAAGAAAAAGAGGUCGAGGGAAAACAAAGAAUAAAAUACUAACAUCUUUGGCUCCUGGUUAAAAAUUGCUAUUGGAAUUCAAUAAUUAUGGUCAAGCCAUUGGAUCAAAUGCUAAUGUAUUUGCAAGUCAUAUUGGCAAGAUUGUUAAAGUAUGUGAAGAUGCACCAAUUUCUUGCAAGCGUUGGGAAGAUGUUCCACAAGACAAUAAGAAUAAAAUGUAUUCUUAUGUACUGGAGAAAUUUGAAUUUGAUGAAAACGAAGUAAGAAAAAAUUGGAUCUUUAGAAAGAUGGGAAGGGAUUUUGCAAACCAUAGAUAUAAGUUGAAGGCUGACUAUUAUGAUGCAUAUGACAAUGAUGAUGAUCAAAUUAAGUUUGCUCCAACAACAAUCGACCAAAGACAAUGGAGACAAUUUGUCAGUUGGUUGAGCUCACAUGAGUUUCAGGUUUUUUGUGCUCGUAAUAAGUCUAAUCGGUCAAAGCAAACAAUGACUAAAACUAUAGGCACUAGAAGUUUUGCUCGAGUUAGAGCUGAACAGGCUGAAAUAUUAGGACAUGAACUGUCUGCAUGGGAAAUGUUCAAGGUGACACACAAGAAAAAAGACGGGUCAAUGGUUGAUUCCACAUCAAAAGAAAUAGUGGAAAAAAAUUCAAUCUUCAGUAACCCAAAGAGCUGAGGAAGAAACUUCUCAAGCUAUUGAUGAAAAUGAAAUUUUUUCUGAAGUAAUGGGAAGAGAAAGACAUAGACGUGUUCGUGGGUAUGGAUUCGGACCAACUCCUUCUUCUAUCCUUGGAAAGAUGAUUCCAUCUCGUCAUGAGCUUGUUACAGAACUAGAACAAAUGCGACAGCAUAAUAAUGGUUUGAAAAAUGAAAUGCAACUUUUGAAAGAGAAAAAUGAAGCGUUGUCGACAGAAUUAGACCAAGUCAAAGAAAGGCAAUCAAUUUUUGAAGCUUUUAUGGAAGAUGUUAGGGCAGGAAGGAUUAGAAAUAACAAUUGACUAGACUUAAUUGUUUGAUGUCUUUUUUUGAUGUAAAGUGUUAGAUGUCUUUUUUUGAUGACAAUG